UACCCUAUAGGUUACAGAUGCUGGAAUGCUUUGUAACCCAAAGUUCCGACGCCUUAGGAUGGAUCUGCGGCCGAUUAGGUUGUUGUCGGGGUAACGGCCCAACAAGCCAGUAAUCGGUACGGGUUGUGGGAGCAAGAGCCCGGAGUUGGAUUCUGAGACACGAAUCCAGGCCCUACGGGGCGCAGCAGGCGCGAAAACUUUACAAUGCGGGCAACCGUGAUAAGGGAACCUCGAGUGCCUGUAUAUGCAGGCUGUCCAGGUGUCUAAAACACACCUGAAGAAAGGGCCGGGCAAGACCGGUGCCAGCCGCCGCGGUAAUACCGGCGGCUCGAGUGGUGGCCACUUUUAUUGGGCUUAAAGCGUUCGUAGCUGGGUUGUUAAGUCUCUUGGGAAAUCUGACGGCUUAACCGUCAGGCGUCUAAGAGAUACUGGCAAUCUUGGAACCGGGAGAGGUGAGGGGUACUUCGGGGGUAGGAGUGAAAUCCUGUAAUCCUCGAGGGACCACCUGUGGCGAAGGCGCCUCACCAGAACGGCUUCGACAGUGAGGGACGAAAGCUGGGGGAGCAAACCGGAUUAGAUACCCGGGUAGUCCCAGCCGUAAACGAUGUGCGUUAGGUGUAUCGGUGACCACGAGUCACCGAGGUGCCGAAGGGAAACCGUGAAACGUACCGCCUGGGAAGUACGGUCGCAAGGCUGAAACUUAAAGGAAUUGGCGGGGGAGCACCACAACAGGUGGAGCCUGCGGUUUAAUUGGACUCAACGCCGGAAAUCUCACCGGAUAAGACAGCGGAAUGAUUGCCGGGCUGAAGACUCUGCAUGACUAGCUGAGAGGAGGUGCAUGGCCGUCGUCAGUUCGUACUGUGAAGCAUCCUGUUAAGUCAGGCAACGAGCGAGACCCACGCCAACAGUUGCCAGCAUGGCCUCCGGGCUGAUGGGGACACUGUUGGGACCGCCUCUGCUAAAGAGGAGGAAGGAAUGGGCAACGGUAGGUCAGCAUGCCCCGAAUUAUCCGGGCUACACGCGGGCUACAAUGGGCAGGACAAUGGGUUUCGACACCGAAAGGUGAAGGCAAUCUCUUAAACCUGUCCGUAGUUCGGAUUGUGGGCUGUAACUCGCCCACAUGAAGCUGGAAUCUGUAGUAA
This 1142-nucleotide ribosomal RNA is filed under the name Methanoculleus sp. RNAcentral's name for it is "bacterial SSU rRNA". It matches the Rfam family "Archaeal small subunit ribosomal RNA", at positions 150 to 1297 of the family's 1478-position model. The record is from RNAcentral. Lineage: Archaea; Methanobacteriati; Methanobacteriota; Methanomicrobia; Methanomicrobiales; Methanomicrobiaceae.